Molecule: ribosomal RNA, 253 nt
Filed under: uncultured bacterium
Lineage: Bacteria
Description: partial 16S ribosomal RNA
Rfam family: Bacterial small subunit ribosomal RNA
Source: RNAcentral
UACGAAGGGGGCAAGCGUUGUUCGGAUUUACUGGGCGUAAAGGGCGCGUAGGCGGUUUAACAAGUUAGGCGUGAAAGUCCUGGGCUUAACCUAGGGACUGCGUUUGAUACUGUUAGGCUUGAAUGUGAGAGAGGAUGGCGGAAUUCCCAGUGUAGAGGUGAAAUUCGUAGAUAUUGGGAAGAACACCAGUGGCGAAGGCGGCCAUCUGGCUCAUGAUUGACGCUGAGGCGCGAAAGCGUGGGGAGCAAACAGG